This is an RNA transcript of Triplophysa dalaica, 1262 nucleotides long. It is a transcript of the gene named fragile histidine triad diadenosine triphosphatase, with no coding region annotated. The transcript has 9 exons. NCBI's taxonomy places the organism in Eukaryota, Metazoa, Chordata, Actinopteri, Cypriniformes, Nemacheilidae. The record is from RefSeq and is a predicted model, not a curated record.
CCUCAUCGACGCGGAAGAUUCUCCCUCCUCAUUAAUCGUACAAGCCGAGCAAAAACUGAAGAAAACGUUGUGUGCUAUGGCUACGUUUCGCUUUGGACAGCACAUCAUAAAGUCCUCGGCCGUGUUCCUGCAGACGGAGUUGUCCUAUGCCCUGGUCAACCGAAAGCCAGUCGUGCCCGGUCAUGUUUUAGUUUGCCCCCUUCGAGUCGUCGAGCGGUUCCGGGAUCUUCAUCCUGAUGAAGUGUCAGAUCUGUUCAUGACCACACAGAGAGUGGCUGAUGUUAUUGAGAAACACUUUCAGGCGACAUCUCUAACCAUCGCUUUACAGGACGGACCUGAGGCAGGACAGACAGUCAAGCAUGUCCACGUCCACGUGCUGCCGAGGAAGACAGGAGACUUUGAGAGGAACGACAGCAUCUACGAUGAGCUCCAGAAACAUGACAAAGAAGGUGAGGAUGUUCCUUCUAAAUGGAGAUCAGAAGAGGAGAUGACCAAAGAGGCGUCAGAAUUACGAGGCCUCUUCAAUGAACCUCUUUAGGUUUUGUGGCGAUGGUAGAGCCGAUCCAUGGACCUGGAAGCUUCCAUCACUGUAUUUCAGUCACUGUGCUCUGUCAGCAAAGCCACAGAUCACAUCUUCUCUCCGGAUGGGUCAAUGGAGAGAGAGAGAGGUGGAGAGAAACACACUCUCUUUCAAAGACCGUCUUAGCCUCGGUUGCUCUUUAGGACAUUUACAUUUCACAGAGAAACUUGUGUGCUCCAUCUGCUGGCAAGAGUUAUUAUGCAAACUAGCUAAUACAACAUACAGACACAUGCACUGCACUGAAGAACAGGGCCGUGCAUUUAAAAGUAUGAAUUUUUACUUCAGCCAAAUGACAGCGAUUGAACUUUGCGCCUGCUACCUCAAUGAUGUCAGGUACUUAACGGCACGUUCACGGGGUGUAAACAGAGGAAGCGACUCCCUCCCGUUCCUGUGUGGAAAACAAAUUGCCUUCUUUCCGGGGAUUUAGCAGAGUUUUGGAGCACUGAGCGUGCAUCAGAGAGCACAGAGGAUGUAUAAUGAGUUCCAUGCUUGUGAAAUCAUAAACCGGAUGGAGGCUGCCCGGAGUCCAGGAGCGCUGUUGGCCACCGAACGCCAUGUUUUAAUGCUGCACUAUUCCCACAUGGAUUGCAUGCACGGCACACUACCUCUUUACUUCACUUGCAGAAGUGUUUGUUGUGAAGUUUAUCUACACCCUCACCCUUCUGUCUCACAAACACACACA